RNAcentral lists this ribosomal RNA (227 nucleotides) under uncultured eukaryote. RNAcentral describes it as "partial small subunit ribosomal RNA". It matches the Rfam family "Eukaryotic small subunit ribosomal RNA", at positions 1208 to 1456 of the family's 1831-position model. The record is from RNAcentral.
GGGAAACUCACCAGGUCCAGACAUAACUAGGAUUGACAGAUUGAUAGCUCUUUCUUGAUUUUAUGGGUGGUGGUGCAUGGCCGUUCUUAGUUGGUGGAGUGAUUUGUCUGGUUAAUUCCGAUAACGAACGAGACCUUAACCUGCUAAAUAGUCAGGCCGGCUUUUGCUGGUCGCGGACUUCUUAGAGGGACUGUCGGCGUCUAGCCGACGGAAGUUUGAGGCAAUAA